This 230-nucleotide ribosomal RNA is filed under the name uncultured Cortinarius. RNAcentral describes it as "partial 28S ribosomal RNA". It matches the Rfam family "Eukaryotic large subunit ribosomal RNA", at positions 1 to 225 of the family's 3401-position model. Lineage: Eukaryota; Fungi; Basidiomycota; Agaricomycetes; Agaricales; Cortinariaceae. The record is from RNAcentral.
GUGACCUCAAAUCAGGUAGGACUACCCGCUGAACUUAAGCAUAUCAAUAAGCGGAGGAAAAGAAACUAACAAGGAUUCCCCUAGUAACUGCGAGUGAAGCGGGAAAGGCUCAAAUUUAAAAUCUGGCGGUCUUUUUGGCUGUCCGAGUUGUAAUCUAGAGAAGUGUUAUCCGCGCUGGACCAUGUACAAGUCUCCUGGAAUGGAGCGUCAUAGAGGGUGAGAAUCCCGUC